UGGCGGCAUGCCUUACACAUGCAAGUCGAACGGCAGCGCGGGAGCAAUCCUGGCGGCGAGUGGCGAACGGGUGAGUAAUACAUCGGAACGUGCCCAAUCGUGGGGGAUAACGCAGCGAAAGCUGUGCUAAUACCGCAUACGAUCUACGGAUGAAAGCAGGGGAUCGCAAGACCUUGCGCGAAUGGAGCGGCCGAUGGCAGAUUAGGUAGUUGGUGAGGUAAAGGCUCACCAAGCCUUCGAUCUGUAGCUGGUCUGAGAGGACGACCAGCCACACUGGGACUGAGACACGGCCCAGACUCCUACGGGAGGCAGCAGUGGGGAAUUUUGGACAAUGGGCGAAAGCCUGAUCCAGCCAUGCCGCGUGCAGGAUGAAGGCCUUCGGGUUGUAAACUGCUUUUGUACGGAACGAAACGGUCUUUUC
This 421-nucleotide ribosomal RNA is filed under the name Variovorax paradoxus. RNAcentral describes it as "bacterial SSU rRNA". It matches the Rfam family "Bacterial small subunit ribosomal RNA", at positions 37 to 460 of the family's 1533-position model. The record is from RNAcentral. Lineage: Bacteria; Pseudomonadati; Pseudomonadota; Betaproteobacteria; Burkholderiales; Comamonadaceae.